RNAcentral lists this ribosomal RNA (433 nucleotides) under uncultured bacterium. Its description in RNAcentral is "partial 16S ribosomal RNA". It matches the Rfam family "Bacterial small subunit ribosomal RNA", at positions 29 to 507 of the family's 1533-position model. The record is from RNAcentral.
AACGAACGCUGGCGGCAUGCCUAACACAUGCAAGUCGAACGAGACCUUCGGGUCUAGUGGCGCAAGGGUGCGUAACGCGUGGGAACCUGCCCUUAGGUUCGGAAUAACUCCCCGAAAGGGGUGCUAAUACCGGCUAAUGUCUUCGGACCAAAGAUUUAUCGCCUUUGGAUGGGCCCGCGUUGGAUUAGCUAGUUGGUAGGGUAAAAGCCUACCAAGGCGACGAUCCAUAGCUGGUCUGAGAGGAUGAUCAGCCACACUGGGACUGAGACACGGCCCAGACUCCUACGGGAGGCAGCAGUGGGGAAUAUUGGACAAUGGGCGAAAGCCUGAUCCAGCAAUGCCGCGUGGGUGAUGAAGGCCUUAGGGUUGUAAAGCUCUUUUACCCGGGAUGAUAAUGACAGUACCGGGAGAAUAAGCUCCGGCUAACUCCGUG